UGGGGAAUAUUGCACAAUGGGCGAAAGCCUGAUGCAGCGACGCCGCGUGAGGGAUGACGGCCUUCGGGUUGUAAACCUCUUUCAGCAGGGAAGAAGCCACAAGUGACGGUACCUGCAGAAGAAGCGCCGGCUAACUACGUGCCAGCAGCCGCGGUAAUACGUAGGGCGCAAGCGUUGUCCGGAAUUAUUGGGCGUAAAGAGCUCGUAGGCGGUUUGUCGCGUCUGCUGUGAAAGCCCGGGGCUUAACCCCGGGUGUGCAGUGGGUACGGGCAGACUAGAGUGCAGUAGGGGAGACUGGAAGUCCUGGUGUAGCGGUGGAAUGCGCAGAUAUCAGGAGGAACACCGAUGGCGAAGGCAGGUCUCUGGGCUGUUACUGACGCUGAGGAGCGAAAGCAUGGGGAGCGAACA
Molecule: ribosomal RNA, 408 nt
Filed under: uncultured bacterium
Lineage: Bacteria
Description: partial 16S ribosomal RNA
Rfam family: Bacterial small subunit ribosomal RNA
Source: RNAcentral